GGGGCUAGCGUUGCUCGGAAUUACUGGGCGUAAAGGGAGCGUAGGCGGACAUUUAAGUCAGGGGUGAAAUCCCAGAGCUCAACUCUGGAACUGCCUUUGAUACUGGAUGUCUUGAGUGUGAGAGAGGUAUGUGGAACUCCGAGUGUAGAGGUGAAAUUCGUAGAUAUUCGGAAGAACACCAGUGGCGAAGGCGACAUACUGGCUCAUUACUGACGCUGAGGCUCGAAAGCGUGGGGAGCAAACAGG
This 246-nucleotide ribosomal RNA is filed under the name uncultured bacterium. Its description in RNAcentral is "partial 16S ribosomal RNA". It matches the Rfam family "Bacterial small subunit ribosomal RNA", at positions 531 to 776 of the family's 1533-position model. The record is from RNAcentral.